This 253-nucleotide ribosomal RNA is filed under the name uncultured bacterium. Its description in RNAcentral is "partial 16S ribosomal RNA". It matches the Rfam family "Bacterial small subunit ribosomal RNA", at positions 524 to 776 of the family's 1533-position model. The record is from RNAcentral.
UACAGAGGGUGCAAGCGUUGUUCGGAAUCAUUGGGCGUAAAGGGUGCGUAGGCGGCUUUUUAAGUCUGACGUGAAAGCCCAGGGCUUAGCCUUGGAAGUGCGCCAGAAACUGGAAGGCUAGAGUGCCGGAGGGGAGAGUGGAAUUCCUGGUGUAGCGGUGAAAUGCGUAGAUAUCAGGAGGAAUACCGGUGGCGAAAGCGACUCUCUGGACGGUAACUGACGCUGAGGCACGAAAGCGUGGGGAGCAAACAGG